RNAcentral lists this ribosomal RNA (497 nucleotides) under uncultured bacterium. RNAcentral describes it as "partial 16S ribosomal RNA". It matches the Rfam family "Bacterial small subunit ribosomal RNA", at positions 28 to 507 of the family's 1533-position model. The record is from RNAcentral.
GAUGAACGCUGGCGGCGUGCCUAAUACAUGCAAGUCGAGCGAACGGACGAGAAGCUUGCUUUUCUGAUGUUAGCGGCGGACGGGUGAGUAACACGUGGAUAACCUACCUAUAAGACUGGGAUAACUUCGGGAAACCGGAGCUAAUACCGGAUAAUAUUUUGAACCGCAUGGUUCAAAAGUGAAAGACGGUCUUGCUGUCACUUAUAGAUGGAUCCGCGCUGCAUUAGCUAGUUGGUAAGGUAACGGCUUACCAAGGCAACGAAGCAUAGCCGACCUGAGAGGGUGAUCGGCCACACUGGAACUGAGACACGGUCCAGACUCCUACGGGAGGCAGCAGUAGGGAAUCUUCCGCAAUGGGCGAAAGCCUGACGGAGCAACGCCGCGUGAGUGAUGAAGGUCUUCGGAUCGUAAAACUCUGUUAUUAGGGAAGAACAUAUGUGUAAGUAACUGUGCACAUCUUGACGGUACCUAAUCAGAAAGCCACGGCUAACUACGUG